ACCGCGGCGACUUGGCGGCGGGUGCCAUGCGUCUGGAGCUUCACAUUCUCUGCCCCCCACCCACCGCGCCGGCGCUCCCUUGUCACGCCUCGGGAAGCGCGCACCUGCCAAGCAGUAGAGAUGGGGUUUCACCAUGUUGCCCAGGCUGGUCUCAAACUCCUGAGCUCAGGCCAUCUGCCCGCCUCGGCCUCCCAAAGUGCUAGGAUUACAGAAGGUGCCUGCUUCCCCUUCACCUUCCACCAUGAUUGUAAGUUUCCUGAGGCCUCCCCAGACAUGUGGAACUAUUUCUGACUUCAUAUCUGUGGGAUCCACACAAUGGGGAGGUACUGGCCUUGGAAUCCAUGGUUCCCCAGCUAUCAUUUUACUUUAGAAUUACAGUGUUCUCUGUUAGUGUCAAGGGAAUGAACCUGACGAGAAAAGACCAAACAUAGGACUGUUACAGGGAAGAAAAAUAUGAAAAGACCUAAAGAUGCACGUCCUCAUUAUAUGUAAGGAAUCUAUUUCCUAGAAUCCUAUAAAAAGCUCAAGUGAAUUUGCUUCAGUUAAUAAAUGUGAUUUAAUUAUAAUGAUAAUGCCA
Molecule: long non-coding RNA, 577 nt
Filed under: Homo sapiens (human)
Lineage: Eukaryota; Metazoa; Chordata; Mammalia; Primates; Hominidae
Description: novel transcript
Source: RNAcentral